ACAAAAACUGAUACAAUAAAAUUUAUAUGGAAGAAGAUGAUGCUUGAGAAGUUUUGAUUUUGUUGUUUUACAAAGUUUGAAAGCGAGAAAAAUAGUGAUAGUGGUAAGAAAUUUAUGUGUGAUUUUCCUAUUACAUUAACUUGAAUUUGGAUUUGAAAGAAACCAACACUGUAUUGGGACAAAAAAUCUGCAAAUUCUAAGUUUAGAAAGUGUGUAGUUGGAAAUUCUUUUUAUCUUUGUAGAUAUAAAUGAUCUUUUACUUCCAUUUAUGUGGUUCUGAUGAAUUUAUGAUGUAUGUAUGAAGAUUUCUUGUAUUUAUUAUGAUUCAUGAGUGUAGAUAUAAAGAAGAAGAAUGGAAAUCUGAACUAGAUAAAGGAAGUUUUGGUCGGUGUGUAUGUAUUAAAGAAAACAAGAAAUACACAGAUUUGGCAGGUAUAUUAUGUGAGGUUUUCAGUUUGAAUUCCACUGAAUGCAAUCCUAUAAUUAGUUACGGGAUGCCGGAAAAUAUGUCUAUGAUGAUAGAAAGUAAUCGCCCUCAUGUCUACAUUGACAAUCAAAUCAGCUUGGAUACAUUUUUUUUGAUUCGUAAUGCGGAUCCUAGUGUAAACUUGUUUGUAUCUUUUUGUACUACUGACAAUGGAUGAGUGAAUAGUUUGGCUACAAAGGGAGGCCAUGAUGCUGUAGCUGGGUUAAGGAGUGAAAAUACACCAAAAACCAUGGUAGAGGCUUCAAAUGUAGAUGCAACUAGUGAGGACGUUGAUGAAUAAGAAGACGUAGAGAAGGAUAAAACAGAUGAAGGUGAAGAGGAUGAGGAUAAGUAAAGGAUGGGGAUCAUAAGUUUGACAAAAAAUUUAAUGUACAAUGAACCCCAAAAACAUUUUAAAAAUAAACUUUACCCUUACGUGUUAUAAACAAAAAAUGUCAUGCUGACGUGUUGCGCUGAAAAAGUUUCAUAGCCCAAUUAAUUAUUUGUCCUUCACUUAUUAGAAUAUUUACAUCAAUUUGCCAUUAGUAUAAAUACCACAUAUUUUCAUUCAACUAAUU
This 1044-nucleotide small RNA is filed under the name Arabidopsis thaliana (thale cress). RNAcentral describes it as "ATSL169020". The record is from RNAcentral. Lineage: Eukaryota; Viridiplantae; Streptophyta; Magnoliopsida; Brassicales; Brassicaceae.